RNAcentral lists this ribosomal RNA (253 nucleotides) under uncultured prokaryote. RNAcentral describes it as "partial 16S ribosomal RNA". It matches the Rfam family "Bacterial small subunit ribosomal RNA", at positions 525 to 777 of the family's 1533-position model. The record is from RNAcentral.
ACAGAGGGUGCGAGCGUUAAUCGGAAUUACUGGGCGUAAAGCGCACGUAGGUGGCGACGUAAGUCGGGUGUGAAAGCCCCGGGCUCAACCUGGGAAUUGCAUUCGAGACUGCAUUGCUGGAGUACGGAAGAGGAGGGCGGAAUUCCCGGUGUAGCGGUGAAAUGCGUAGAUAUCGGGAGGAAUACCUAUGGCGAAAGCAGGCUACUGGACCGUCACUGACUCUGAUCUGCGAAAGCUAGGGGAGCAAACAGGA